UAAAUCUUGUUGGAAAAGAACUAGACGUGAUGAAGCAUAUUCUUAGGUCCUACUACUUGCUAUGAGUACUCCACUAGGGUAGUGGACUGGUACUACUAGCAGACAUGGCUUACGAGUUACGACCAUACUGAAUUUCCUACUUAGCAAAAAUGACCCCUGAUUACUACCACUAACUAGGUGGUCAUAGCCCGUGGCCGGUACAUGCAUAUGGC
Molecule: long non-coding RNA, 212 nt
Filed under: Hordeum vulgare
Lineage: Eukaryota; Viridiplantae; Streptophyta; Magnoliopsida; Poales; Poaceae
Description: long non-coding RNA (HVUL_LNC012574)
Source: RNAcentral